Molecule: ribosomal RNA, 352 nt
Filed under: Epipocus gorhami
Lineage: Eukaryota; Metazoa; Arthropoda; Insecta; Coleoptera; Endomychidae
Description: partial 12S ribosomal RNA
Source: RNAcentral
UUAGUUGUAAUAAUAAAGUUAGAAUUAGUAAUAGUUAAGUUCUUUAAAAUUAAAGAUUUUGGCGGUAUUUUAGUCUUUUCAGAGGAACCUGUUCUGUAAUUGAUAAUCCACGAUAAAUUUUACUUUAUUUAAUAAGUUUGUAUAACGUCGUAGAUGAAUAUUUUAUUAGAAUUUUAAUAUUCAAUAAGUAAAAUUAUAACUAAAAUCAGAUCAUGUUGCAGUUUAUAAUAAAGUAGAAAUGGGUUACAAUAUAAAUUUAUAUAAAUGAAUUAAUAAAUUGAAAAUUAUUAUGAAAGUGGAUUUGAAAGUAAUUAAUUAUAUUUUUUUUUAAUGAUUAAAGCUCUAAAAUAUG